This 466-nucleotide ribosomal RNA is filed under the name uncultured bacterium. RNAcentral's name for it is "partial 16S ribosomal RNA". It matches the Rfam family "Bacterial small subunit ribosomal RNA", at positions 28 to 507 of the family's 1533-position model. The record is from RNAcentral.
GAUGAACGCUGGCGGCGUGCUUAACACAUGCAAGUCGAACGAUGAAGACCAGCUUGCUGGGUGGAUUAGUGGCGAACGGGUGAGUAACACGUGAGUAACCUGCCCUUAACUCUGGGAUAAGCCUGGGAAACUGGGUCUAAUACCGGAUAGGAGCGCCUACCGCAUGGUGGGUGUUGGAAAGAUUUAUCGGUUUUGGAUGGACUCGCGGCCUAUCAGCUUGUUGGUGAGGUAAUGGCUCACCAAGGCGACGACGGGUAGCCGGCCUGAGAGGGUGACCGGCCACACUGGGACUGAGACACGGCCCAGACUCCUACGGGAGGCAGCAGUGGGGAAUAUUGCACAAUGGGCGCAAGCCUGAUGCAGCGACGCCGCGUGAGGGAUGACGGCCUUCGGGUUGUAAACCUCUUUCAGUAGGGAAGAAGCGAAAGUGACGGUACCUGCAGAAGAAGCACCGGCUAACUACGUG